UUUUGUUUUCAGGUUUCUGGAACGAAAAAUGCCCGCGCUUGUGGCUGGCAUCACAUGAAAAGAUGACACCGAUGGUGAGCUCUUUAGUUUGAUGCGAUCGAUGCUUCUAAAAGCUUUCGUUUCUCGCAGGCACAGGACGAUAGUCUUCACGAGAAGUUUUGAACGACGAGCUAAAGCUGAAAGACCUGCUAAAGUUUUAAACGAAGAGCAUAACGUCGUGACGGUAAGUUUCAUUUCCAUUAGAACAGAGGUGAGUUUGAGGUCUUUUUCUCGUUCUGGCUCUCAGAGCCUUUUAGGCUACUAAUCGUAAGAGGUCGCUUGGUUUUUGUUUCAAAACCUUGAACAUGGUUUAAAUCCCAUUCUCGUUUAGCCGACGAGGUUUGGGACAAAGAGUUGUGUUUCGAGCUAUAGACGUUUUUAAAAGCUCUUGGUUCUUACAGGUACAGGAGAAAGUUUUUCGAAGCUGCUAAAACUAGUGCUUUUGAUCCAAAAGUAUAUAUCCUGGUACAUAAGGAUUAUCUGACGGUUAUAAGCAUUCGUGAUCCAACGCUUGGUUUUCAUUCUCACAAGAAGGCGGGAAUAUCGGGCGGUUGUGAUUGAAGUUUCCAUAUCACAUGCAUCGG
RNAcentral lists this long non-coding RNA (623 nucleotides) under Selaginella moellendorffii. RNAcentral describes it as "long non-coding RNA (SMOE_LNC000711)". Lineage: Eukaryota; Viridiplantae; Streptophyta; Lycopodiopsida; Selaginellales; Selaginellaceae. The record is from RNAcentral.